Molecule: ribosomal RNA, 253 nt
Filed under: uncultured bacterium
Lineage: Bacteria
Description: partial 16S ribosomal RNA
Rfam family: Bacterial small subunit ribosomal RNA
Source: RNAcentral
UACGUAGGGGGCAAGCGUUAUCCGGAUUUACUGGGUGUAAAGGGGGCGCAGACGGCAAUGCAAGCCAGGAGUGAAAGCCCGGGGCCCAACCCCGGGACUGCUCUUGGAACUGCAUGGCUGGAGUACAGGAGGGGCAGGCGGAAUUCCUAGUGUAGCGGUGAAAUGCGUAGAUAUAUGGAGGAACACCGGUGGCGAAAGCGGCUCUCUGGCCUGUAACUGACACUGAGGCUCGAAAGCGUGGGGAGCAAACAGG